AUACGGAGGAUCCGAGCGUUAUCCGGAUUUAUUGGGUUUAAAGGGUGCGCAGGCGGCCAUUUAAGUCAGCGGUUAAAUCGUGGGGCUCAACCCCAUUCUGCCGUUGAUACUGGGUGGCUUGAUUGCGGUCGAGGUUGGCGGAAUUCGUUGUGUAGCGGUGAAAUGCAUAGAUAUUACACAGAACGCCGAUUGUGAAGACACCUCACGAAGCGGUAACUGACGCUGAGGCACGAAAGCGUGGGGAUCGAACAGGAUUAGAUACCCUGGUAGUCCACGCAGUAAACGAUGAUGACUAACCGUCGGCGAUAGACCGCCGGUGGCCAAGCGAAAGCGAUAAGUCAUCCACCUGGGGAGUACGCCGGCAACGGUGAAACUUAAAGGAAUUGGCGGGG
RNAcentral lists this ribosomal RNA (392 nucleotides) under uncultured bacterium. RNAcentral's name for it is "partial 16S ribosomal RNA". It matches the Rfam family "Bacterial small subunit ribosomal RNA", at positions 523 to 918 of the family's 1533-position model. The record is from RNAcentral.